Molecule: long non-coding RNA, 5998 nt
Organism: Apis florea (little honeybee)
Lineage: Eukaryota; Metazoa; Arthropoda; Insecta; Hymenoptera; Apidae
Source: RefSeq, a predicted model, not a curated record
CAUCUAAAGCAAAGUUAUACUUAUUACUUGUAAGUUCAAGCAACAUUUUUAUGUAUCAAUUUUUAUAUUUAUUUUAAUUUUUAGAAUUAACUCUUUAAAGAUAUUCUAUGAAUAUUAUUAAUACUUUUUAAAAUGAUAACAAUUAAAUAAUUGCUAAAAUUAUAGGAAUAUUUAUUUUAAUUGGCUUCAAUUUAAAUGUCAUCUUAAUUGAUUGCGAAUAUAUAAAAAACAUCGAUACUUUGACAAUAAUCUGAUAUGAUAUCUCGUUAAUGCGAAAACAAAUAACAAGAGGUCAAUUAAGAAUUGAGGUUAAUAAAGAAUGAAACCUUCAUCCUUAUAGGAAAAAAAAAAAAAAAAAAAAAGAAAACAAUUGGAUGAAAACGAGGUCCAACUAAUAAUACCGAUCAAUCGUCGGAUAUCUUUUGAAGGUAAUAUUCGAUCGGCAUUUUCACGAAGCAGUCUCGUUCGAAGGAAAAAUGUAGCCAGCGUCAAGCUGUCGGGCCAAUUAACUCGCGAUUAAUUUGUCCACGUUAACGAACUGUAAGGCGCAGAGAUGAUUCAUUGCCGGGUUACACGGUUCUUCGAUGCGAAAAAAGAAGUCAAUCUCGAGUAAGUGGAAGAAAAGGAAAUAGAGGAACGCUUAAAGAAAGACAAUUCAACCGUAUAAAUUAGAAUCCUGUUAACAACAUCGAAAUUAACAAUCUCUUAUCUAGUAUUCAAGAAAAAGUUGAAAAGUUAUUAUCAAACUUGGGAAAAUUGAAAUUUUACUUGGAACUAUAACAUGUGUAACUCGUAGUGUAACCGUCGCAGAACAAUUACUUUCCAAAAAAUUACAAUAUAAAUAAAAGAUACAUAUCUUCGAAAAAAAAAAAAAAAUUCAAAAUCAAAUCUCGCGUUUAAAAUUUUCAAAACUAAUUUUUCUUAACUCUUUCAGAUAUAAGGCGUAUCAUAAGUUUCCUCGUAUCUGUUUCAUUUACACGUAUACGUAUCAGACAUUAUCGAACAUGUCGAUUAUAACGCGGAUAGAUUUCGCUUCGAACGAGAAUAUUUCUCUGUUUCAUCGGAGUGAGGGAGAAGAGGCGAAAAGGGGAUCCGGAGUAUAUAUAUUCUUACCGAGACUUUACUGUUGGAGGCGGGGCUGUGGAGAGAACUGGACAAGGGUGCCAUUGGCAAGUAAAUCCCGGCGGCGCUGGAAUCGUUGGGCAAACAACGCCGGUCCCGCGGGCUCGGUCCACCGACGCUCGAGGACGAGGAAACGCUCAAUUGGUCCGACUCCCUGCCACCCCCGUAUCCCGUGGGUAAUGUCAAGGACAGAUCCUCCGACACGAAGCUACCCUCCAUUGUUCCACGAGGUACCGGUGGCGUUUGGUACAAUCCGCUGUCGGAACCCCUGCGCAACCAAACUUGAAGUCUCAGAGGGACUAAUUCACAACUUGGAAUUGCUAAUAGAUAAAUCUCUUUUUUUCAUUUUCUCUUUACUUAUUUAUUUCUUGUUCUGAUUUGUUUGUUUGUUUGUGUAGUAAAGCUAAACAUGGUGCAGUAGCGCUUUGGACGAUUAACACUGUAACAAAUUUAAGGAUUGUUGAAUAUUUCAAAGAUGAAAGUGUAUUUUUGUUUCAACACUUGGUGAUGGAAGAGAACUCGUGUGGAUAUGAUUGAAAAGUGUUGUUUGAAAUGUGUUACCUUAAAGAAAUCGUCUCUUUCAAAGACGACUCGUUCAUCGAUAUUCAACCCAAACAACAGAUAUACACGAAUACCCCUGCGUCUCUCCCUCGACAAUACGUAAGUUCGAGCGGAUGAACGGCGACUUUUUAAUGAAGCCACGUAGACGAGGUCGUAGGAGAGGCGCAAGCGGAGAAACAGAAGGAGAAAAGCAGCCGAGGAGUGGAAACAAGCGAAGCCAGAGGUGAAUGAGGAACCGGCGAACCGCGAGUGGAGGCCGUGCCCAUAGGACGAGGGAGAGAGCAAUGCUUGGAUCGCGCAAUAACGAAAUUUUACAUGGCGGGAAGAAGAGAGAAAAAAAAGGGAACGUACAUGGAAAGCAACGGCGAUAGUCACGAGGCAGUGUUAAAGGGAGGAAAGGGGCGACACGAUACUCACAAAGACAUAACGGAAGUGCCGGAAACACGGCGAUCAUCGUCCCGAGGCUUGUGAUAGAACUGCCAUUGAGUGGGCGAUGUCCCUUCCGCCGGGGAGAGAUCAUCCCCUGGGCGAACGUUCUCGUAAGGGCUGCCCAAUGAAUCGUUCCCUUGGACCGGAAUCGGUGGCAAGUUCUCGCUGUCGGCAUCGCUCUCCACGCCAGAGGAAGAUCUGUGCCCUGCAUAUUUCAUCCGUCGAUUAUUCAUUUUACCGUUAAGUUGCAAUUUGAACCGUUCAUUCUUCUUAUUUAAGUUAUUCGAGUGCGAAGAUGAUGAUCGAAUGGUUAGGAAGAAUGAUGGAUCAUCAUUGGAUGGAAGAUGAUCCAUUAAUGGCGCAAUUAACAGAGAGACAACAUCAUAGGAAGAAUUUCGUUUCCUCCUAAUUUAUAAUUUUUCGCGUGAAAAUUUGAUUCGUUAUAAUUGAAAGAAUCAUUGGAAAUCAAUCAACGAGCAAUACGCUAAAUUCAAAGUAUCAUCGCGAAAACAAUUGCGAUUAUACAAUUAUAUUUCUAAAUCAAAUCCAAAGACUUGGUGAUACGAUAAUUCUAACAAGUUCUAAUAACAAACGGGCGAACAUCAAUUUACGACCAAUACGAAAGCGUUCCUCGGCGUUAACAAGGUUCAACAUGCCAUCGUGCGAAAUCUUAUCGCUCGAUGCUCGCUCAUGCAAACCGUUCCGACAAAUUUUUCGAGGGGACGUUAGCCGGUAUCGGGGCAAUCGGCUCGGUUAUACACUUAUGACAGCUCGCCGAGAGACACGUCGUUUUUCUCCACCAGAUAUACGUCUCGUUAAUUGCACAGCUCGUUUGCUCGGGACGUGCAUGAGGCGAGAAAGAGAGAGAGAGAGAGACGAGGUCGGAUACGCACUUUUUAUCACGGCGGUGAUGUCCUGAGUGACGUGCGGCGGGAACUGUCCCAGAAGAUCGAGCACCGUGUUCUGUCGCGAGUCCCGGAUGCCCAGGUCGACCCCUCUGUCCAGGAGUGCCCGCACCACUUCCAUCUUGCCGCAGAGUGCCGCCUCGUGCAUCGCGGUUCCCGCGGACGUCCUCGUGUUCACGUCGACGCCCGCCGCCAGCAACACCUCCACCACAGCUCUGAAACCGACAGAUGGACGAGAAAACGUGAAACUGUUUUUGGACGAAACAGGUGAAAAAUAUAUAUAUACGGUUGACGUUUGUAAGUAAUGAGAGCGAGUGAAAUUUUUUACGACACGUUUUUUCUCGUUUCUUGUCUGUAUGGUAAAUUUUACCAACUUCAAGUUAAAAUAUCUUCUCUAGAUUAAUGGUUUUUCGAUAUAAGUAGAUUGAUACUUUUUUUUAUUUAUUAGAGAAUAUCAAAUUGGUAUAUCAAGCAAUUGGUAAAUAAUGUAUGAUCUCAUUUAAAGAAUGAUUUUUCAUAUGUAUUCUAAGAAAAAACUAGAUCAUCAUCAGAAUCGUGUGAAACAUUUCUUGCUAUGGAUAAUAAUGGCGGAAAUCAAGGUAAAUUUUUUAAAACGUAACGUGUAAGUUAAUUAUAUACGAUACCGCAUGUCCUUCAUAAUUUGAACGUUGAUUAAUUUCCGCGAAAUUUUAUUACAUUCAACGAAUACGAUUAUUGUGCGUAUCAACGAUACACUUUCAUUUUUACGUAGAUUUCAUUCGAUUUGAACUACCUUGAACAUUCUAAAUUUUAUCCUCUGAUGCGUCAACUUUCUCAUUCCCGCUCGAUCCACAUAAAAAUUUAAUCAAUACGAGUACGAAUCAACCAACAAUCUUGUCUCAACAACCCUCCCCUCCCCCCAGAAAUUUCAUCCAAUAUCUGGUGCCCGACAUAAUACAACACACGCGUUGUUUCCAUAAACAUAGUUCCAUAGCAAUACUUAGUAAUCUUAAAUUAACAAAUCAAAAUUAGAAGUAGAAGGCGUGCAACAACGGUUCCCCGAAAGCCAUCGAUGACGACCAUCGAUGGUUUCCUACGAGACCUCCCCCCACCCGUGGGUCCGCGGAUCACCGACGUCAGCUGAAAGUGGCCCGCUUGCACGCAUUUCCCAUUUCGAUACCACCACCACCACCACCGCCGCCGCCACCGUGUAUCACGAAACCCAGAUUUCGUUUUGUAUCCGUCGGUCGGGUGUGCACCGACUGCAGUGACCGCAGCCAUCCGUCGCAUAUAGGAUUCGUGGCUGGGAAUCGGAUUCACGUGCACCUAUGUUGUUAUUACCGUGCCAUAGGGGUAUUUGUAUACUGGCUUACCAAGAGCACCGAUAUUGAAUCCGAUAAUAGACAUUACUUCUGCCCCGUUCCCGAUCCCUUCUCGAACCCUACGCCCCCCUCCCCCUCCCCACUCUGUCGCGCCUUCCCUUUGUCCCGCUCCCGCCCACGUAACGCCGCCCACGGAACCGCCAGAUCCGCCAAAUAUCGCGGCGGGGCGCGUGAAACGCGUGCGUGAACGCAAUCAUCACCGGUGUGUGUGCAUUGGUAUACUACACAACCGAAUCCCGACGUUACGUUUCGAUACUCGGGUGUGCACGGUGUGCAGGGAAGGCCGGGGAGCUUCGAUGCACGACACCGAAAACGAGCGUACACAGCGAUCGUGCACAGAGCGCGCCAACAGAGGGCUCUGGCUGCUUCCUACCGUGGAUUCGCGCCUGUCCAAACAGUCAAAAUGCCUGUACACACCUAACGACACGCCCAGCCACCAAAUCACACGCCGGACAAAAGAUCCAAUACCAUUUCCCAACUCGCAUUGUUCGACCACCGCACGGCAAACGGUACGAAGACACUGCAAAUCCCUUCAAAAGGGAGGAGCGCGUCAAUGUUGGUGAACAGUUAUCGAAGCGUCAGAACACCUUGGUGCAUAAAGGGGGCAUUAAACAUCCUGCGAGCAAUCACGAUCCAGCAAACCGAUCUAGGUCGAUACGUUUCGAAGGUAACGAUUAAUACGAUCCUCUGGUAAUCGAAGGGCGGCUAUGGAACACGCAUGGACGGUCAGAGAGGGAUGUCUGUUGGCCUCCGCGGAUCCAUUCGAUCGGAGAUUCGGCCGGACGAGGAGGAGAGACCCGGGCUCGAUCGGUAAUAUGGGACGUGCGUUACCGAGAGAGGGUUGCGACGGAUCAUGCCAGGACGUAAUACAUACAUACAUAUCGUAUUCGACGGGAUUACGCAACGUGGUGCUCUCUGAUUGGCUAAUGGGCAACGCUGCAAAUGGUUCGACAUCGUUAUGCUUAGGCGAAACGACUCUAUUGUUGUGCCGGGAUACAAUGAGUCGAGUACUAUAUUACUCGAUAAUUAGCGCGAACAGUUCUUCUUUCGGAAGAAAGAAAGGAAAAAAAAGUGUUGCUGAAAAUGGUGGAAGAAGAUGUGGAAUUAAAAAGUGGAAAUUUUGAGAAAUCGAGGAAAGGAUUUGAGAAAGUUGGAAUUUGUACGUGUUGAUGUUUGUAGAUAAUCGUGGGAUAUGGAGGAUCGAUUUAAAUGUUAUGAAUGCAAAAAUUUCGAGUGGAGGAUAAUGAUAAUCGAUGAUAAUUAUUUUUGUGUUUUUUUUUUUAUUAUGUUUGAUCUAUUAUUUCAGUUGAAUGUUUGGCAAGAUUUGGUUUUGUAACGAUAAUUUUGUACAAAUUAUGGAUUUUAAUUUCAUAUGGAACUUUACAACAACAAGAUAGAGAGAAAUGUUCUGUCUACGUUCAGUAGUUUGGAUCAAUAUUUAAUGAUCUGUUAAAUAUUUGAUGAUUGUUUUAGAUAAAUUAAUAAUAUAAUCGAAACGAUGACACAAUCGCAAUUAUCCGUGUUCCAAUUUCAGAUAUAUGUACCGAUUUCAUCAGAAUUGAUUUAUUCAUCAGAGAUUUAUUCACGGGCCACAUUAAUAAGAUUAAUUUCAGACACCUA